UUGCUAAGGCCGAUGGCGACCGGCGCACGGGUGAGUAACACGUAUCCAACCUGCCGUCUACUCUUGGACAGCCUUCUGAAAGGAAGAUUAAUACAAGAUGGCAUCAUGAGUCCGCAUGUUCACAUGAUUAAAGGUAUUCCGGUAGACGAUGGGGAUGCGUUCCAUUAGAUAGUAGGCGGGGUAACGGCCCACCUAGUCUUCGAUGGAUAGGGGUUCUGAGAGGAAGGUCCCCCACAUUGGAACUGAGACACGGUCCAAACUCCUACGGGAGGCAGCAGUGAGGAAUAUUGGUCAAUGGGCGAGAGCCUGAACCAGCCAAGUAGCGUGAAGGAUGACUGCCCUAUGGGUUGUAAACUUCUUUUAUAAAGGAAUAAAGUCGGGUAUGGAUACCCGUUUGCAUGUACUUUAUGAAUAAGGAUCGGCUAACUCCGUGCCAGCAGCCGCGGUAAUACGGAGGAUCCGAGCGUUAUCCGGAUUUAUUGGGUUUAAAGGGAGCGUAGAUGGAUGUUUAAGUCAGUUGUGAAAGUUUGCGGCGCAACCGUAAAAUUGCAGUUGAUACUGGAUAUCUUGAGUGCAGUUGAGGCAGGCGGAAUUCGUGGUGUAGCGGUGAAAUGCUUAGAUAUCACGAAGAACUCCGAUUGCGAAGGCAGCCUGCUAAGCUGCAACUGACAUUGAGGCUCGAAAGUGUGGGUAUCAAACAGGAUUAGAUACCCUGGUAGUCCACACGGUAAACGAUGAAUACUCGCUGUUUGCGAUAUACUGCAAGCGGCCAAGCGAAAGCGUUAAGUAUUCCACCUGGGGAGUACGCCGGCAACGGUGAAACUCAAAGGAAUUGACGGGGGCCCGCACAAGCGGAGGAACAUGUGGUUUAAUUCGAUGAUACGCGAGGAACCUUACCCGGGCUUAAAUUGCAGAUGAAUUACGGUGAAAGCCGUAAGCCGCAAGGCAUCUGUGAAGGUGCUGCAUGGUUGUCGUCAGCUCGUGCCGUGAGGUGUCGGCUUAAGUGCCAUAACGAGCGCAACCCUUGUUGUCAGUUACUAACAGGUUCCGCUGAGGACUCUGACAAGACUGCCAUCGUAAGAUGUGAGGAAGGUGGGGAUGACGUCAAAUCAGCACGGCCCUUACGUCCGGGGCUACACACGUGUUACAAUGGGGGGUACAGAGGGCCGCUACCACGCGAGUGGAUGCCAAUCCCCAAAACCUCUCUCAGUUCGGACUGGAGUCUGCAACCCGACUCCACGAAGCUGGAUUCGCUAGUAAUCGCGCAUCAGCCACGGCGCGGUGAAUACGUUCCCGGGCCUUGUACACACCGCCCGUCAAGCCAUGGGAGCCGGGGGUACCUGAAGUGCGUAACCGCGAGGAGCGCCCUAGGGUAAAACUGGUGA
RNAcentral lists this ribosomal RNA (1385 nucleotides) under uncultured organism. RNAcentral describes it as "SSU rRNA". It matches the Rfam family "Bacterial small subunit ribosomal RNA". The record is from RNAcentral.